AUGGUGUCCCACUUCCCCUCACUGGCCGGCCUCCUCGCCAGCCGCCUGCUGGUUCUCUACGCCACCACGUGGUCCGCAGUCGCUGCCAUGUCCAUGGCUGUUACGGCUCUCGCGCCCGAGAUCGCCUAUGUCUGGGGCAUCGCGUCGGGUUCGCUGCUCACCAAGGCGAGCCCAGCCAGCAAAUUUGCCGGAGGCAGCAUCAGCCUGCCACUUGACGGCUGCCCAUGCCUGACAUGGUCGUUCCGUGCUGGCCUCUUCUGCCGGGCCGUGCCUGACAUGGUCAUUCCGUUCAUGUUCGCUGUCGUGGUGAUCACCAGCGUCGUCGGGUUCACCGCCGCCGUGGGCGUCUGGGAGGACGACAAUGAGGUAUUGAGGUAG
Molecule: ribosomal RNA, 378 nt
Filed under: Triticum aestivum (bread wheat)
Lineage: Eukaryota; Viridiplantae; Streptophyta; Magnoliopsida; Poales; Poaceae
Description: partial small subunit ribosomal RNA
Source: RNAcentral